CUUCAGCGAUCCCAGCCACAGCGGCUGUCCCGCCCGGUCCUGGCCGUAGGUGGCGAGCAGCGCACCGGCCUC
Molecule: antisense RNA, 72 nt
Filed under: Actinokineospora auranticolor
Lineage: Bacteria; Bacillati; Actinomycetota; Actinomycetes; Pseudonocardiales; Pseudonocardiaceae
Description: ASpks TB sRNA
Rfam family: ASpks TB sRNA
Source: Rfam by way of RNAcentral